GCACCGGUAGCUCAAUGGUAGAGCAGUUGACUCUUAAUCAAUUGGUUGAAGGUUCGAGUCCUUCCCGGUGCA
Molecule: transfer RNA, 72 nt
Filed under: Vulcanimicrobiota bacterium
Lineage: Bacteria; Bacillati; Vulcanimicrobiota
Description: tRNA-Lys
Rfam family: tRNA
About the family: Transfer RNA (tRNA) molecules are approximately 80 nucleotides in length. Their secondary structure includes four short double-helical elements and three loops (D, anti-codon, and T loops).
Source: RNAcentral